AAUACAUGCUGACGAGUGGCAGACGGGUGAGGAACACGUACGCAACCUCCCUCAAACCGGGGCACAACCUUGAGAAAUCAGGGCUAAUUCCCCAUAACAUUGCGAAAGGGCAUCUGAUUGCAAUUAAAGAUUUAUCAGUUUGAGAUGGGCGUGCGUUCGAUUAGCUAGUUGGUAGGGUAACGGCUUACCAAGGCAACGAUCGAUAGCUGGUGUGAGAGCACGACCAGCCACACGGGCACUGAGAUACGGGCCCGACUCCUACGGGAGGCAGCAGUAAGGAAUAUUGGUCAAUGGACGAAAGUCUGAACCAGCCAUGCCGCGUGAGGGAUGAAGGUCCUCUGGAUUGUAAACCUCUUUUAUCUGUGAAUAAACGUCCUUUUUCUAAGGGAUUUGAAGGUAAUAGAUGAAUAAGCACCGGCUAACUCCGUGCCAGCAGCCCGCGGUAAUACCGAGGGUGCAAGCGUUAUCCGGAUUUACUGGGUUUAAAGGGUGCGUAAGUGGGUUGGGAAGUCAGUGGUGAAAUACUUUCGCUUAACGAAGGAACUGCCAUUGAUACUAUCAAUCUUGAAUGUAGUGGAGGUAGGCGGAAU
RNAcentral lists this ribosomal RNA (590 nucleotides) under uncultured bacterium. RNAcentral's name for it is "bacterial SSU rRNA". It matches the Rfam family "Bacterial small subunit ribosomal RNA", at positions 80 to 667 of the family's 1533-position model. The record is from RNAcentral.